CGGAAAGCAGAGGGUAGGAUCCCACCGGGGACCUCAUGCGUCAUUUCCGGGUGGGCGCGGAAUUCGAGUCUGAGGCUUUCCUCUUGAGUAGUUGUUGCUGGUGAGAUGCCGGCUGUGGCUGGGAUCAUCGCUGAGCCGGCAUAUCUUGCGUCCGGCAUUUCCUAAGUCGCUAGGCCUGGCAAGCCCUGUCGCUCCUCCACGGAGGACAGCAGGAGAGCGUCCUGAGGAGAAGCUAGAACCCUGUCCUCAGCCCCGUGCGGUCGGUCCUCUGAAGAGCGGGAAGCCGUGGCUCCUCCACCCUGUUGUGGCUUCGGGUGUCGCUUUUCCCAAAUUGGUGGCGUUCCGAUAAAAUAAUAAGGAACCGCCGAUGCUAGGCGCAAGAAGCUGCGUGAGAAACGAAAAGGAUCAGGUGCUCCCCCUACCAGGACAAGCUGAAACCAUUUGAUAUUUUUGGCCAAUCACCUCCAAUUAUUCCUGUCAAGGUAAGGCCACAGAUUAUUGAACUGUCUAAUCGUUCCUUCCUCAAGUCCUUACAGGCACCACAGCAGACAGCUAGAGACAUCCAGAGUCAUCUAUCACACCAACUGCCUGCAUCACCCUUGACUGAACCAGCAUCCAGGUUCCAACCUGGGGACUUAGUGUGGGUCCUCCGCUUACCCAGCAAGACUCUUGAACCUACAUGGAAGGAACUGACCAUAUCCUAUGAUACUGACAACGCCAAGGGCCGUCAAGGUAGUGGGGACUGCAGUUUGGAUCCACCAUUCCUGUCUAAGGGUGGACACAGCCAGCCAGGAGAAAGGUGACAAAUGGAGGGGAAUGCAAAACCCCCAGUGCCCUCUAAAGGUGCGGCUCACCUGCACCCUGAACUCAGACUGACACUAAUAUUGGGAAUGUUGGUAGGUAACUCCCACAUAUGACCGACUGAAAGUGUUGAAGUCUGGGACUGAGAACUGUCUUGAACUGCAGAUAGGAAAAUAAUAGGCAUUUUCCAGAAUGCCACCUCCCAACCUGUGUUUGGAUUUGACCUAUGCAAUUUCUUUAAUAACAAUGAAUUUAUGGCUGAAUGGGAAAGUUAUGGGUGUGGAACAAAAAUGAAGAAAAUAUCCUUUUGGUCUUUACCAUUUUAUGCAUGCCCAGCCAAUGGGCCUACUCAUUGUCAUAAGUGGAAAAGAGAUUAUCAUUGUUCCACCCAGGCUGCAAGACUGAGUCUGACCAGAGCAGACAUAAAGACCCAUUCAUCUCCAUUCAACAGGUAUAUCCUUAUCAGGAUUGCAAACCUAGGACCUGCAACCCUUUCACUUUAAAGAUCAUAGCCUGGAAUGAAUUGAGUUCCAAAUACUGGCUUGCAGGCCGGACCUGGGGAUUUGUGCUUAAAUUUAAGAAUUAUGGGAACAGUCCCGUGUAGAAUUCACUAUACGGAAAAGGGUACCAUCCCACCUAAGCAAUCCUGUAGGUCCUGGAAGGAACUGGCUGCCUCAACCAGGGAUUAGGGUGUCUCCUUUCUCUGUUCUCCAUUCUCAGGCCACUCCACCCAUGGCAGUAAAUUGAUCUAUAUUCAAAAUCAAGGGGCUACAGUGACAAAACUCAGCCUCAACCCCACUGCAGAAUGGACUUAAAAGUUUUAUUCCUGGCUGGGCGGUGGUGGCGCACGCCUUUAAUCCCAGCACUUGGGAGGCAGAGGCAGGCGGAUCUCUGUGAGUUCGAGGCCAGGCUGGACCGAUAGCCUCCGAAACAAUACAGAGAAACCCUGUCUCGUAAAAACCAAAAAAAAAAAAAAAAGUUUUAUUCCUGGAUGAUGCACCUGGGCUCAAGACCUUGAAGUUCCUGCAUAACUGGAUAAAUUAUAUACACCCCAGCCUGGGAAGAGAUUGUUGGCAUUGUCUAAGUGCCAGGCCUCCCUUUUAUGUGGGGUAGGGGUAAAUCUCUAUUAUGUCAACUACUACCCUACCAGAAAAUUUAAAUUGUAAACUGGAAGAAAAUAAACUCACCCUGGGAGAUUUCCUAGGAAUAGGUACUUGGUUAAUCUCUUCCACUUAUAGACAAGCCUGUAAUACUCACUUGUACACACCAUCUAGUCUGAACUUAUUAGAAUGCACUUCCCAUGCCCUUUAAGAACAUGGUUAUUUCCAAGUAGACAUAUAUAUACCAGAAAGGAGGGUAGAAAACUUUUGCCUGCAUAUAAAGGACAUUCCUGUUAGAAAAAAAGAGAAUAGCAAUUGCAACUAUGAAGCAAUAAUCACAGGGAGCAUCAGCCCUAGUUAUUGAAGAUCAGAGUUUUAAAACACGAAAUAAUAAAGUAGACCAAAACAUACAGCAUCUAAGGGCUCUAUUGGACAGCUUGAAAAACAAGUAGUUUCCCUAGCAGAAAUGGUUUUACAAAACCAUUGAGGGCUGGAUUUGUUAACUCUUGAGGAAGUACGUUUUUGUGUAAUCUUAAAUGAAAAAUAUUUCUAUGCCUAUAACUCAGGAGCUAUAUGGGAAACAUUAGAUAUAGUUCAGAAAAACUUAGAUACAAAGGCAAAGGAAUGAACUGAGGCUUCUAAUUGGUACAGUCUCUGUUUCUCUUGAUCCCCAUGACUUAACCAUCCUUUUAAUGGCCAUAGCUGGGCCCAUUCUUUUAUUACUUCUUGGCAUCACAAUUGGCCCUUGCAUUUUAAGUCAGUUACUAACAUUAAAAGUAGAAUCAGGUCUGUUGUUACCUAUAAGCCCUACAGGCUCAAUAUCAACCUGUACAUCAGCAUGAAUUGAUUUGACUCAUGUGAUCUAGAGCCAGUAGGAAAUGUGAUGACUAAGCAAACUCCAUUUUGUACUAGGUACCCAUUUUAGUAGGCUUUUUCUUCUGAGUUAAAUUCCUGAAAGAUAAGUUCCCUGGCAUCUUGCUCCCUUUCCAAAAUGGUGUAAUUGUUGUGAAAUGAUUAGCUGCUUGCUCUGGAUUUUGUAAUUCACUUACUGAAGUAUGCUAGGGGAGUGAGGCAGUUUCUCACAGAGCUGCAAAUUCACAGAAAAAUUGUUGUUUUGCCUUUAAGAACCCUUCCCUCAACCUCUUUUGGCUUUAUUUGGCUUUAAGGCUGUCACUCUGCUAGCAUUUUUAAAAUUUUUUUUGGUUUUUCGAGACAGGGUUUCUCUGUAUUGUUUUGGAGACUGUCCUGGAACUCGCUCUGUAGACCAGGCUGGCCUCGAACUCACAGAGAUCUGCCUGCCUCUGCCUCCGCCUCCCGAGUGCUGGGAUUAAAAGCAAGAGCCACCAACGCCCGGCUCUGCUAGCAAUUUUAAUAAAUUCAUGUAACUAUAA
Long non-coding RNA from Mesocricetus auratus (golden hamster), 3292 nucleotides. RefSeq lists it as uncharacterized. The transcript is spliced from 2 exons. Lineage: Eukaryota; Metazoa; Chordata; Mammalia; Rodentia; Cricetidae. The record is from RefSeq and is a predicted model, not a curated record.